Long non-coding RNA from Hippocampus zosterae (dwarf seahorse), 890 nucleotides. RefSeq lists it as uncharacterized. The transcript is spliced from 3 exons. The record is from RefSeq and is a predicted model, not a curated record. Lineage: Eukaryota; Metazoa; Chordata; Actinopteri; Syngnathiformes; Syngnathidae.
CGAGCUCUGCCGCUGAGCCGUGCGUGCGCGACACGUACCUCAUGCAGUCCCAAAGCCUGCCAGCAGAGGGACACCUUUUAGGUGGUGAAGACGGACGGGUCUUACCGUUUGAAGAUGCCCAAGUGAAGAAUGUGUAUGGUCGAGAGGUACCAUCGCCUAUUGUCGCCAUCGUCGUAAUGCCACUUGACACUCAGCAGCUGCACCGCAGUACCCGGGAGGAAGAGCCCUAGCGUGAAACCGGCCCACCGUGUCUCGUCAUUCCAAAGAGAGCAGUCAGACGGCACUGCCCUCCACCUGUCUCCAUGUCUUACCUGCCCUAGUCAUUAACAGGGUCCUGGAGCCCCACUGUAAGUGCACAUGUCAACAGCCAAAUUACAGGGCACACCUUGCCCACACAUAUUUGUUUUGCUUUUAAAAGGGUAAUAUCCGUCUGCACGCAAAAGCUUUACACUCACUCUGCUCACUGCCCGGUCCACCUUUUUUUUUUUUUAAACCCUCCACAAAGUGAGGUUCAAAGAUCGAGGGGAAAAGGGAUGAUGACAUCAGGGGGUCUUCUUUUGUACUCUUAGCUUACGUUACAAAGCCCAAAGACAGUGUUUUGCUCCUCGCUGCUGUAUAAAAUGACAUUUGGAUGAAAGCUUCAUUCAAUAAUUUUCAAUAUGAACAUUUUUUUCUUCUCUGAUCAGCUGCUGGAACAGAUCAUAAUCUUUUAUUUUUCUCAUGGGGUUGCUCGUCGGGUCAAUUUUGAACAAGGGCAUUCUGUAUGUUAUAAAUCGUCAGACUCCAAAAACAAUGGUCCUAUAUUGAUUAAAGAAUAAUAAUUUUAGACAUCUCCUAAGGGUGCUGGUCACCUCGGCUAAAAACAGGCUGCAUCUUUAGCCAGGCAGACA